This 1339-nucleotide long non-coding RNA is filed under the name Cyanistes caeruleus (blue tit). Its description in RNAcentral is "lncRNA (ENSCCEG00000001589.1)". The record is from RNAcentral. Lineage: Eukaryota; Metazoa; Chordata; Aves; Passeriformes; Paridae.
UGCCGCAACGGUGGCAGCGCCUUUGGGACCCGCUGCGUGUGCCCGCCCGGCUUCCGCGGGGACACCUGCCAGCACCCCAAGGAGGUGGCACGGUGCCUCAACGGUGGCACUUUGGAGAAGGGGACGUGCCGGUGUCCCCCCACGGCUUGGGAACCUCAGUGUGAGUGCGGUGGCACGGGACCGAGCACGGCGGUGGGGAAGGUGUUGUACGUCGGUGACACCGCGGGGACGAACGACACGGUGACGGCGAUGGGUGGUGGCACCGAGGAGAGCGCCACGGACGCGCCACCGGCGAGGCGGGAGAGGAAUGUCACCGGCAGAGCUGAGGGGGACAAUGCCACCGCUGUGGGAAGUGUCACCAGGGCCACCAUGGUGGACAGUGUCACCAGGGCCACCACCAGUGGCAGCGUCACGGGAAGGAACAGCACGGUCACCGCGGUGGUCAGCGUCAACACGGACCAUGAUGUGGUCACCACCAUGGAGAGGGACAUGAUGGUCACCAGCUCGGACCAUGAUGUGGUCACCAGCUCAGACCAUGAUGUGGUCACCACCAUGGAGAGGGGCAUGAUGGUCAGUGCCAACACGGACCAUGAUGUGGUCACCAGCUCAGACCAUGACGUGGUCACCAGCACAGAGAUGGCCACCAGGGUCAGGGGCAGCGUCCCCAUGGCCACCACCACUGGGGACAACACCACGACGGUGCCACCAGAGCGGCGGGUGAGAAACGUCACGGGCUCGUCCGUGAGGAGCCACACGGGGGCCACCACCGUGGAGGGUGAGACCGCAGCCGGGGACGGUGACACCGCGGUCACUCCGCCAGACCUCGCGGAGGGAGAGACCACGGCCAUGGAGGGUGAGAACGAGGUCACCGAGGGUGAGAACAUGGACACAGAGGGUGACACCGAGGCCACCCCCAUGGAAGGUGACACCGAGGCCACCCCCAUGGAAGGUGACACCGAGGCCACACCGGUGGCCACCACGGUGAGGAACACCAGGGCCACCACCGUGGAAAGUGACACCACGACGAUGCUGCCAGAGCUCCUGGGAGGCCUCAGCAGGGCCACCACCAGGGCAAGGGACAGCACGGCCAUGGGGAACGCCACCAGGGCCACCACCCUGGAAAGUGACACCAGGGCCACCACCAUGGAAAGUGACACCACGGCCACCACCCUGGAGAGCCACACCCUGUCCACCCUCCCCGUCGUCCCUGCUGACGUCACCUCAACGCCAGCCCCGCCCAAUGCCACCAACACCACCCUGGAUGUCACCGAGACCACGGCGGUGACGCCCCAGGCCCUGCCCAACGCCACCGAAGCCACCGGGGCGCUGGGCCACGGCU